CCUGUCUUUCUUUCUUGGUCUCAGUGAGCCACUGUCCACUCUGAUGACGUGUACUUCCUCCGUGCUUCCCCACCAAGUCACCCCUCAACCACAUCUGAGCUGUGCCCGUUGCUCCAGCAGUGUCAUCAGCACAUGCAGAGUGGUGCCUCUCCCUGUGCUCUGUCCCACGCAGCUCCAGUCUAAGCCUCUUCCUUCCUUGCCCAGUUCCCAGAAGCACCCCAGACUCCCUUCCUCCCCAUUGCCCACGCUCAGGGGGACAGCCGGAUGUGGCUUGUGAUUGGACUAGAGAAUUCCUUGUUGUGAUUGGAUUAGAGAAUUCCUUGCUGUGUUUCCAUACUACCUCCUGUUCACUUCUGAGGGAUUCCUGGAUUCAAUAUGAAAGAUAAAGUCCCACUCACGAUGCAAACGAAACUGUAGAGCCAAAAAAAGGAUGGAGUACCCUUCCGUGCCCACAGGGAAGACCCCCAGGUGAAGCUGGACUCAAUGUUAAGGAGAACCCUGAGAGAAGACAUCUGGGAAGCAAGGCAGGAGCUUCAGUAUCGGAUGUGGCACCUGGCUCACAGAAGGCACCCGGUCAAUAUCUUUUGCUUCACUGAAUGAAGGGAAGGGUUAACAGGGAGACAAACAGAAGCAUCACAAAAGCAGAGCGUGGAUCUGUGCCUCUCUUUCUGAAACUGCCGUUCCACACUUACAAAAGGACCAAACUGAGCUGUGAGUCCCUUCAUCACUAGGGCAGUCACAGGCUUUGUGGAAAGUACCUUUAGGGAAGAUGAAGAACAUUCCACCUUCACAAGGUAGAAGAGGAAAAGACCAGAGGCGCAGCAUCCUUCCAAAGUCAAGGAGGAAAAAAAGCAGAAGGCGGGCAGUAGGUUGGAACACCAGAGGUCUCCUGGGUAAGACUUUUAGGAACAAUAUAAAACUAACCGGCCUCUGCUCUGUUCUAGCUACACUGAGAGAGGUGGGGAAAGUCAUGAGUCUACCAUACAAUAAAUUUCUUUCUAGAAAUAAUUUUGCCUGCUGUCUUUCCUGGCACAGAUAGCACCCUCUAA
This is a long non-coding RNA of Mus musculus (house mouse), 1049 nucleotides long. RefSeq annotates it as predicted gene, 51757. The record is from RefSeq and is a predicted model, not a curated record. The transcript has 3 exons. Lineage: Eukaryota; Metazoa; Chordata; Mammalia; Rodentia; Muridae.